AGCGAACGCUGGCGGCAGGCCUAACACAUGCAAGUCGAACGAACCUUGCGGGGUCAGUUGCGAACGGGAGAGUAACACGUGGGAACGUUCCUUCAGGUGCGGAAUGCCUCAGGGAAAGUUGCGCUAUUACCGAACGUGUGCUUCGGGGGCAUGAUAUCUCGCCUUUAGAGCGGCCCGCGUCUGAUUAGCUAGUUGGUCGAGGUAAGGGCUCACCAAGGUGACGAUCAGUAGUUGGUCUGAGAGGAUGAACAACCACAUUGGGACUGAGACACGGUCGGAACUCCUAGUAAAGGCAGCAGUUGUGAAUCUUGCGCGAUGGGCGAGAGACGGACGCAGCCAUGCCGCGUAACUGAUGUAGGUCUUAGGAUUGUAAAAUUCUGUCACCGGGUACGAUAAUGACGGUACCCAGAGAAAAAGCCCCGGCUAACUUCGUG
RNAcentral lists this ribosomal RNA (434 nucleotides) under uncultured bacterium. RNAcentral's name for it is "partial 16S ribosomal RNA". It matches the Rfam family "Bacterial small subunit ribosomal RNA", at positions 29 to 507 of the family's 1533-position model. The record is from RNAcentral.